AGCGAACGCUGGCGGCAGGCCUAACACAUGCAAGUCGAGCGGAUGAGAAAAGCUUGCUUUUCGAUUCAGCGGCGGACGGGUGAGUAAUGCCUAGGAAUCUGCCUGUUAGUGGGGGAUAACUCGGGGAAACUCGGGCUAAUACCGCAUACGUCCUACGGGAGAAAGUGGGGGAUCUUCGGACCUCACGCUAACAGAUGAGCCUAGGUCGGAUUAGCUAGUAGGUGAGGUAAUGGCUCACCUAGGCGACGAUCCGUAACUGGUCUGAGAGGUUGGAUGAGUUACACUGGAACUGAGAAACGGUCCAGACUCCUGCCGGAGGCAGCAGUGGGGAAUAUUGGACAAGGGGCGAAAGCCUUAUCCAGCCAUUCCGCGUGUGUGAAGAAGGUCUUCGGAUUGUAAAGCACUUUAAGUUGGGAGGAAGGGUAUUCACCUAAUACGUGGGUACUCUGACGUUACCAACAGAAUAAGCACCGGCUAACUCUGUGCCAGCAGCCGCAGUAA
Molecule: ribosomal RNA, 501 nt
Filed under: uncultured bacterium
Lineage: Bacteria
Description: partial 16S ribosomal RNA
Rfam family: Bacterial small subunit ribosomal RNA
Source: RNAcentral